This 393-nucleotide ribosomal RNA is filed under the name uncultured bacterium. Its description in RNAcentral is "partial 16S ribosomal RNA". It matches the Rfam family "Bacterial small subunit ribosomal RNA", at positions 523 to 918 of the family's 1533-position model. The record is from RNAcentral.
AUACGGAGGAUGCGAGCGUUAUCCGGAUUUAUUGGGUUUAAAGGGUGCGUAGGCGGCCUUGUAAGUCAGCGGUGAAAUUUUGCAGCUUAACUGUAAAAGUGCCGUUGAUACUGUGAGGCUAGGAUUUGGUUGCUGUGGGUGGAAUGUGUGGUGUAGCGGUGAAAUGCUUAGAGAUCACACAGAAUAUCGAUUGCGAAGGCAGCUCACAAAGCCAAGAUUGACGCUGAGGCACGAAAGUGUGGGGAUCAAACAGGAUUAGAUACCCUGGUAGUCCACACUGUAAACGAUGAUAACUCGCUGUCGGCGAUAUACAGUCGGUGGCCAAGCGAAAGCGAUAAGUUAUCCACCUGGGGAGUACGGUCGCAAGAUUAAAACUCAAAUGAAUUGACGGGG